CGAAUGUACGGUUUAUUAACCCAACUCCCCACAGGCUACUGUUUGGCCGCAGCCCACGACAAAAUAAAUGAAGGAUACCCUAUAAACCACCCGCGACCUUCUCUUGUGAAAGCCAGACAUAAGAGAGAGAACAAUGUUUAAACCUGGUCUAAACUUCCAAUGCUCUCUGCCCAACCCCCCUCCACGCCUCUCCACCAACCACCAGGAAGCCCGGCAUCAGAACGUUCCAGGAUUGGCAGAUAGCAGGUAGAUUGGCAUGUCGAACCCCGCGAACACUGGGUACUGGUAAGUACAACACAACCAACUAAUAGACUAACACAUAACACACAGCUGUCUGUGUGGGUCGCUACAAUAUUGAAUCAUUUCUGCCCACCGAAUUCAUAUUCGUUAUACACUAUAAAAAAUAUAAGACCGGCAUAUUAAAUAUUGCAAAAGAAAAUCUAAUGAUUUUUACUAAAAAUAAUAGGUUUCUGCUUUUGAACACAUUUUAGAUUAUAAUCCUUAAUUUAUGUGUUGAAAAAGAAUCCAAGAUCUAGUUAUGAACGUCAGUUGUGCUUGGAACAUUUCAACAGACGUCGUCUUGAUCUUUCUCAUCUGGAAAGGCCAUGUGGCAGGUGUAUCACUUCUAUCAUCAAGAAAUGGACAGUGACAGAUGGCUAACUACACCUAGCUAUCUAACUACACCUGUCCUGGCAGAAACCUUCUUGUUGUUCAGGUGUUCAGACAUUCCUGGGUGCUGGACAGACCAUAUUUUUCAGAAUACAUUGACAAGGAAAACGAGAUGCAUCGCAGAUCUACCUGUCUGUUUCUCUCUUCUUCACCUGUCUCACUGCCCUCCACGCUGGUUUUCCGAUGACAGACAGACAGCUACCUAGCCUAAACCCCGCCUCCACUCUGAAUCGGUAUCUCCCUGGAAUGUUCCAGAAUGCCUGAACUUAGCAUGCCUGCUGCUGUUUGUGUUAUCUUUAUCAAUCAAUAUGACUAUAUGAUUUAAGUUAUGAUAUUGAUCAUUUUGGCUGAUGGACUGAGAGGAAUAAGCUAUUGACUGACUCCAUGCUUGAUGACUUUACAAUCACAGAGAGCUGUUGACUGACUCCAUGCUUGAUGACUUUACAAUCACAGAGAGCUGUUGACUUCAGAUACUGGAUGACUUUCAAACACAACCACCAAAGUUGUGCUUCUUUGGAAAACCGUUCUAAAACCAAACCUGCUGGUUGAAAUAUGACAUUGCAGGAUGGUGAUGAAUCAACUGGAGGCUGGCUGGCUGCUGAAGGAUGGAUGAACACAAUGGACUCAACUUCCACAUUGUUCUGUUCAUAACUCAUCAGUCUUUGGUCUACGCACCACAAACACAUCAAGUAUCUACUAUUAAAUGUGAGCUGGGUUUUCACUGUUGGAAAUGGAUGGACUGUUUCAGGAAAAACCUUCAAGUCACAUCAUAUAUGCAAUCUAAGACUUACUAAACCAGUUGACUUAGUUGGCUUACUGCAACACAAGAAUCAUUACUGACCACCUACUUCUGUGUUGGACUACUAGGUGAAACAGCCAUUCUGUUAGAAGGAACAACGUUACAAUGUGAUGGACUACUAGGUGAAACAGCCAUUCUGUUAGAAGGAACAACAUUACAAUGUGAUGGACUACUAGGUAAAACAGCCUCUCAAAACUCCAAAGAUUGUAUUUUCUUCAACACUUAGUUUUUAUUUCAGUAAUGCUUCAGGGAAAUGUAAAGACAAGGUCCUGGACAGUAACAGGAUUAUUGUCUUUCUGUCUGAGACUCUGUCAUCAUAGAGAUCUAGUAGUUUAUUUAGAUCAGGGUUGGGCUCAAUUCCUUUACAUUUCAGGAAGUAAACUGAAAGUCUAAUUCCUUUACAUUUCAGGAAGUAAACUGAAAGUCCAAUUCCAAUUUUCCUCAAUGCCACUCUGAGAAAAUGUCAGUUUACUUCCUGAAUUGACUGUAUUGACAUUGAACUGACCCCAACACUGAUCUAGAGAUAAGAGACUGUAGUCCUCUUGGGGGAGUAGUGGGGAUGGGAGGCAGGGUGAAGGGGUCCUCUUGGGGGAGUAGUGGUGAGGGGAGGGGAGACAGAGGACAUCCCAGUCUGAUCACUGGAGGUUCUCUUGCUACAGAGAUGGUCUAUAGAAGCCUUUUAGUAGCUGACAUUCCUAACCUCAACUGAGAGGGUCUCAGUCCCUCUGAUGGCCCUGUUGGUGUCUACUCUGUAUCUCUGUGUGUGUCCUGUUUUUCGCUGUCUGGGACAAAGGGGGGUUGUUGUGGAAAUUGAGGGGGGUGAGGUUAGUAGUCUUUUGGCAGCAUGACCCUGCGACCCCCCAUGAAAUAACACAAGGUGAUCUUCCUUCUGAAAGGAAUGUUGUCCAGGGCCUCCACUGCCACCCUCUUGUUGCCCCUGACGCUGCUCUCCUCCUGGUCGUACAUGGGGCACAUGUAGGCUGUUCGCCUCAGGGCGUAGAUGUCCACCUCGUCCUCGUCGUCCCACGGCUGGUAGGGCUGCUGGGAGGGAACGGCUGACUUGACCAGACGGGGUCUCAUCAUGGCCAGCUCUAGGUCACGGGGGAUAUGCCUCAGACCCAGGCUAGACCUCUGGACUCUGGCUCCUUUAGAUUACAUUACAUGAGGUUACAUUCAUUUAUUAAUAAUUCCUUUAUGAAUGGUUAAAAACAGGAAAAUCACCUUCCUGGUCGUACAUCAGCAAACAACAUUAUACAAUAUUGACAAUAUAUUCAAUAGAGAAAAUGUGUCAUUGCACAAAGAGAAGUGCUGACCUUUCUUUCUCUUCUUCUUGGUCUUGUCAUCCCAGGCGUUGGCACUGACAAGGGACACGUUGCCCUGCCCCAGGGAGGGCAGCAGUUUGGGCCGGGGGGCCACCGGGGGUUUGGGGACCUUCUUUGGAGGAGGAGCAUCCCUCUGGGCUCUCCUGGCCAGCAGAGGUCCUGUCUGGACGAAGGCCUCAGGCCUGAUGAUGUCCCUGGGUGGGCUGCUGCUCCCUCUGGCAGCCUCCUCUGGCUGGGCAGCUUUCGGCAUGGAGAGAACAAACACAUUGUUGCUGAAGCUGCAUGACUCUGAAAGGGCCGGCUCCUCCAGGGUCAGAGGGCAGGUAGGACGGGGCUCAGGCUGGACUACGUCCACAGUGCUGGUGGUGAUGCUCACAGGACUGGUAGGUUGGGACUCAAGCAUAACGGAACACACAGGAUUACUGGGCUUAACUUUUCUCCUAGUGGUGUUCCGAGGGUUGCUAGGCCUUCCCUCAGGUCUGGAAGGCUGAACAUCAUGCUGGACCAGGCCCACGGGUCUAACAGGCCGUCUAGUGGGGCCCAGAGGGUUGCUAGGCCUCCCCUCAGGUCUGGAAGGCUGUACAUCAGGCUGGACCAGGCCCACUGGUCUAACAGGCCGUCUAGUGGUUCGCCGAGGGUUGCUAGGCCUCCCCUCAGGUCUGGAAGGCUGUACAUCAGGUUGGACCAGGCCUACGGGGCUAACAGGCCUUCUAGUGGGGCGCCGAGGGUUGCUAGGCCUCCCCUCAGGUCUAGUGAUGCUGACAGGGAUUCUAGGUGUCAUCUCAUUCUGGUACAGGCUCUCUGGGCUGUUGGGCCGGGAAUCAGGCAGAAGCUUGUAGUUCUUCAGAACCUCAGUGAAGGAAAGCUCCUUGUUGCGCCUGCGUCUGUUGGUUUUGGCAGGUAGCUGGGAGCUGCUCCUGUUAAACCAACCGGGAGACUCACGACAUCCAUCCUGGACAGGAACCAGGGUCUGGAGGUCUCUCCUCUUUCUGUGGGCAGCUGUGGGCCUCUUGGGCCUGAUUUCGUCAGGAGGGGGAGCACGAGGUACAACAUGCAGGGAGGGGAAUGCUGAGGGCCUGAAAGAGGAGGCCAUCACUGGGGCCUGGCUGACCUCUUCUCUCUCCAGCAGCACUCUGUUAGAAGGACAGAGCAGCGGAACACCGAUGGACCUUGGUCCUCCAGACCCAUUCAGGUUGGGCCUCCUAUUCAUCAUUCACUGGUCUGCAGUAUUCUAAUCAGAAUGCUCCUUCUAGUCUUGAAUACUUGGAAUAGGAAGUGGCUUUCAGCACCAUUAAACUCUAUAAAAAGAGAGCCACAGAAACAUCUUUGUUUAGUAUUUGGGGAAAUUUUUUAAAAU
Oncorhynchus kisutch (coho salmon) is the source of this 4147-nucleotide long non-coding RNA. RefSeq lists it as uncharacterized. The record is from RefSeq and is a predicted model, not a curated record. Lineage: Eukaryota; Metazoa; Chordata; Actinopteri; Salmoniformes; Salmonidae. The transcript has 5 exons.